Molecule: long non-coding RNA, 446 nt
Filed under: Phoenix dactylifera (date palm)
Lineage: Eukaryota; Viridiplantae; Streptophyta; Magnoliopsida; Arecales; Arecaceae
Description: long non-coding RNA (PDAC_LNC011150)
Source: RNAcentral
ACUGAAGUAAUAGUGCAGGUGCUUGUUAGAGAACAAGGGUACUGAGCGUGACCAAGACAAGAAGUCACUUGGAUGUCUAUCCACUCGUCAGUGACUUGCUUGAUGUUGCAGUAGUGUGACUGGUCCUUUGACCUGCGACGCUUCGGCUACUCACAGUGAGGUUAUUGUAGUUUGACUGCACAUAUACAUGGUCUCUAGCCAUAUGGGUCCAUGCAGUGUAGAUUGGCUGCAGUAGGUUCACUGUAGGAGUAGGGUAUGUACCUAUAAGGAAUCUAUCGAUCUUGAUAGAUAAGGAGAGAUCCUAUGUGAUUUAUAAGACUGAGUUCGUAAGACCUCGGCCGGGACAGAUUGCAUAGUGGAGAAAGAGUUCUCCGCUCUCGAACUUAAGUCGAAUAAAUCUUGACAUAUGACAGACGAAGGGGUUUGACGAGUUAUCCAUGACCUCC